CAAAAUGGGAGGUAAAUUUCUCCUAAGGCUAAAUAUCGGCGAGAGACCGAUAGCGAACAAGUACCGUGAGGGAAAGAUGAAAAGAACUUUGAAAAGAGAGUAAAAUAGUACGUGAAAUUGUUGAAAGGGAAACGAUUGAAGUCAGUCGUACCGACGAGAAAUCAACUUAUCGUGUGCGAACUUGUGGGCGUGCGUGAGUUUCGGCCUCGCUGUUUGCAUGUUUGUGCGUUUUGGGUGUACUUUUUCGUAUGGUAGGCCAACGUCAGUUUCGACUAUCAUAAAAUGACCGGCGGAAUGUAGCUUCGAUUUCGGUUGAAGUGUUAUAGCCUCUGGUAGAUGUGGUGAUUGAGACUGAGGAUUGCAACGAAUACCCUUUGGGCUAUCCGUCUGGCCUCUGAAAGUUGCUCAGGUGCCGAAAGCGUGCUUACGGUCAUCUAAGAUAACGUUCAACAGGUUAGAACGUGAUUAC
This 469-nucleotide ribosomal RNA is filed under the name Glomus sp. V3_1_13. RNAcentral's name for it is "eukaryotic LSU rRNA". It matches the Rfam family "Eukaryotic large subunit ribosomal RNA", at positions 288 to 633 of the family's 3401-position model. Lineage: Eukaryota; Fungi; Glomeromycota; Glomeromycetes; Glomerales; Glomeraceae. The record is from RNAcentral.